Non-coding RNA from Schizosaccharomyces pombe (fission yeast), 229 nucleotides. Lineage: Eukaryota; Fungi; Ascomycota; Schizosaccharomycetes; Schizosaccharomycetales; Schizosaccharomycetaceae. The record is from the annotation of a GenBank genome assembly.
UUAUCUUAUAUUGUCUUACGCAGGUAGAAAUGUAGCAAAAAAAAGGGAAUAAAGCACCACAUAAGAAACACAAUGUCUUAUUUGAAGGGACGGUGAAUUGCCAAGUCAUUUAAUUUUAUCGAAUCAGUAUUCAUAGAACCGUAAAGGUCCCCGUUGAGUUAAGUGGCAUUAUUGAAUACAUGUGUGGAUCUUAACUUAUUAACGAUACAAAUUUAAAACCUGUUAACGU